This 492-nucleotide ribosomal RNA is filed under the name uncultured bacterium. Its description in RNAcentral is "partial 16S ribosomal RNA". It matches the Rfam family "Bacterial small subunit ribosomal RNA", at positions 29 to 507 of the family's 1533-position model. The record is from RNAcentral.
AGUGAACGCUGGCGGUAGGCCUAACACAUGCAAGUCGAACGGAAGCACAGUAAGAGUUUGCUCUUACGGGUGGCGAGUGGCGGACGGGUGAGGAAUACAUCGCCAUCUUCUUUUUCGUGGGGGAUAACGUAGGGCCACUUAUGCUAAUACCGCAUAUGACCUACGGGUGAAUGCAGGGGAUAUUCGCACUUUGCGCGAUUGAUUGAGCCGAUGUCGGAUUAGCUAGUUGGCUGGGUAAAGGCCCACCAAGGCGACGAUCCGUAGCUGGUCUGAGAGGAUGAUCAGCCACACUGGAACUGAGACACGGUCCAGACUCCUACGGGAGGCAGCAGUGGGGAAUAUUGGGCAAUGGGCGCAAGCCUGAUCCAGCCAUGCCGCGUGAGUGAAGAAGGCCUUCGGGUUGUAAAGCCCUGUUGUUGGGAAAGAAAAGCAGCAGGUUAAUACCCCGCUGUUCUGACGGUACCCAAAGAAUAAGCACCGGCUAACUUCGUG